This 398-nucleotide ribosomal RNA is filed under the name uncultured bacterium. RNAcentral's name for it is "partial 16S ribosomal RNA". It matches the Rfam family "Bacterial small subunit ribosomal RNA", at positions 523 to 918 of the family's 1533-position model. The record is from RNAcentral.
AUACGUAGGGUGCGAGCGUUGUCCGGAAUUACUGGGCGUAAAGAGCUCGUAGGUGGUUUGUCGCGUCGUCUGUGAAAUUCCGGGGCUUAACUCCGGGCGUGCAGGCGAUACGGGCAUAACUUGAGUACUGUAGGGGAGACUGGAAUUCCUGGUGUAGCGGUGAAAUGCGCAGAUAUCAGGAGGAACACCGGUGGCAAAGGCGGGUCUCUGGGCAGUAACUGACGCUGAGGAGCGAAAGCAUGGGUAGCGAACAGGAUUAGAUACCCUGGUAGUCCAUGCCGUAAACGGUGGGCGCUAGGUGUAGGGGUCUUCCACGACUUCUGUGCCGUAGCUAACGCAUUAAGCGCCCCGCCUGGGGAGUACGGCCGCAAGGCUAAAACUCAAAUGAAUUGACGGGG